AGCUCCAAUAGCGUAUAUUAAAGUUGUUGCAGUUAAAAAGCUCGUAGUUGGAUUUCUGGUCCUUCGUUUGUGUCCUCCGAAAGGAGUGAACGCAAGGGGAGGGUCAUCCUCUCGAAGACUGCGUGUGCUCUUAACUGAGUGUGCGGAGGAUUCGGGACCUUUACUUUGAAAAAAUUAGAGUGUUCAAGGCAGGCUUUGAGGCUUGAAUACAUGAGCAUGGAAUAAUGGAAUAGGACCUCGGUCCCUAUUUCGUUGGUUUUACGGACCGAAGUAAUGAUUAAGAGGGACAAUUGGGGGCAUCCGUAUUUCGUAGUCAGAGGUGAAAUUCUUGGACCUACGAAAGACGAACAACUGCGAAAGCAUUUGCCAAGAGUGUUUUCAUUAAUCAAGAACGAAAGUA
This 400-nucleotide ribosomal RNA is filed under the name phytoplankton environmental sample. RNAcentral's name for it is "partial small subunit ribosomal RNA". It matches the Rfam family "Eukaryotic small subunit ribosomal RNA", at positions 587 to 991 of the family's 1831-position model. The record is from RNAcentral.